UACCGGCGGCUCGAGUGGUGGCCACUUUUAUUGGGCUUAAAGCGUUCGUAGCUGGGUUGUUAAGUCUCUUGGGAAAUCUGACGGCUCAACCGUCAGGCGUCUAAGGGAUACUGGCAAUCUUGGAACCGGGAGAGGUGAGGGGUACUUCGGGGGUAGGAGUGAAAUCCUGUAAUCCUCGAGGGACCACCUGUGGCGAAGGCGCCUCACCAGAACGGCUUCGACAGUGAGGGACGAAAGCUGGGGGAGCAAACCGGAUUAGAUACCCGGGUAGUCCCAGCCGUAAACGAUGCGCGUUAGGUGUAUCGGUGACCACGAGUCACCGAGGUGCCGAAGGGAAACCGUGAAACGUGCCGCCUGGGAA
RNAcentral lists this ribosomal RNA (361 nucleotides) under uncultured Methanoculleus sp. RNAcentral's name for it is "bacterial SSU rRNA". It matches the Rfam family "Archaeal small subunit ribosomal RNA", at positions 474 to 834 of the family's 1478-position model. Lineage: Archaea; Methanobacteriati; Methanobacteriota; Methanomicrobia; Methanomicrobiales; Methanomicrobiaceae. The record is from RNAcentral.